CCUACGGGCGGCAGCAGUGAGGAAUAUUGGUCAAUGGGCGAGAGCCUGAACCAGCCAAGUCGCGUGAAGGAUGAAGGAUCUAUGGUUUGUAAACUUCUUUUAUAUGGGAAUAAAGUGAGGAACAUGUUCCUUUUUGUAUGUACCAUAUGAAUAAGCAUCGGCUAACUCCGUGCCAGCAGCCGCGGUAAUACGGAGGAUGCGAGCGUUAUCCGGGUUUAUUGGGUUUAAAGGGUGCGUAGGGGGUUAAUUAAGUCAGCGGUGAAAGUUUGUGGCUCAACCAUAACAUUGCCGUUGAAACUGGUUGACUUGAGUAUAUUUGAGGUAGGCGGAAUGCGUGGUGUAGCGGUGAAAUGCAUAGAUAUCACGCAGAACUCCGAUUGCGAAGGCAGCUUACUAAACUAUAACUGACACUGAAGCACGAAAGCGUGGGGAGCAAACAGGAUUAGAUACCCGAGUAGUC
This 460-nucleotide ribosomal RNA is filed under the name uncultured bacterium. Its description in RNAcentral is "partial 16S ribosomal RNA". It matches the Rfam family "Bacterial small subunit ribosomal RNA", at positions 338 to 795 of the family's 1533-position model. The record is from RNAcentral.